This 478-nucleotide ribosomal RNA is filed under the name uncultured bacterium. RNAcentral's name for it is "partial 16S ribosomal RNA". It matches the Rfam family "Bacterial small subunit ribosomal RNA", at positions 28 to 523 of the family's 1533-position model. The record is from RNAcentral.
GAUAAACGCUGGCGGCGUGCUUAACACAUGCAAGUCGAACGGUAAAGCCCUUCGGGGUACACGAGUGGCGAACGGGUGAGUAACACGUGGGUGAUCUGCCCUGCACUUCGGGAUAAGCCUGGGAAACUGGGUCUAAUACCGGAUAGGACCCUGGGAUGCAUGUCCUGGGGGGGAAAGCUUUUGCGGUGUGGGAUGGGCCCGCGGCCUAUCAGCUUGUUGGUGGGGUGAUGGCCUACCAAGGCGACGACGGGUAGCCGGCCUGAGAGGGUGAACGGCCACACUGGGACUGAGAUACGGCCCAGACUCCUACGGGAGGCAGCAGUGGGGAAUAUUGCACAAUGGGCGCAAGCCUGAUGCAGCGACGCCGCGUGAGGGAUGACGGCCUUCGGGUUGUAAACCUCUUUCAGUAGGGACGAAGCGCAAGUGACGGUACCUACGGAAGAAGGACCGGCCAACUACGUGCCAGCCGCCGCAGUAA